RNAcentral lists this ribosomal RNA (251 nucleotides) under uncultured bacterium. RNAcentral describes it as "partial 16S ribosomal RNA". It matches the Rfam family "Bacterial small subunit ribosomal RNA", at positions 524 to 776 of the family's 1533-position model. The record is from RNAcentral.
GACAGAGGUGCCAAGCGUUAGGCGGAAUCACUGGGCUUAAAGCGUGUGUAGGCGGAUCGUUAAGUGCCUUGUGAAAUCCCACGGCUUAACCGUGGAACUGCUCGGCAUACUGGCGGUCUUGAGCCAUCUAGGGCUACGGAACAAAUGGUGGAGCGGUGAAAUGCGUAGAUAUCAUUUGGAACGCCAAUGGUGAAAACAGGUAGCUGGGGAUGUGCUGACGCUGAGACACGAAAGCCAGGGGAGCGAACGGG